CCUAGGAGCCAGACCUGCUGCUGGCUGCUUCUGGGGCGCAGCGUGGUCUGUGGUGCUAGGACAGGCAGGCAGCCUGCCUUAGCACCCCCCCACCCCUGCUGUGUCACUGACUGGGAGCCUCCUGAGGGUACCACUGAACACCCUGUACUCCCCCAGGAACAAGGAAUGUGACUGUCCCUGGCUCGUGCAUGGGGUGUGCAAGAAGAAGCUUCCCACACUGAUCUGCAUCGUCAUUUGUUUUAGACCCCAAUCCUGGAAGCAGACUGGAUUGGUGCCUCAGGAGCUCUUACUUUGGAAUGCCGCUUUCCCCUCCAACUCUACAUUUCCUCCAUCAAUUUAAUUUCUGUCCUUCAGCAGGAGUUGAUCAUUUCUUAAUGGAACUGCUGAUGGCUCCUAAAUGCUGGGCUCUUUGGACACUCCUAGAAAUGGGACUUUUGUCUGGUACUCUUUAGCAGUGUUAAAUUCCUUGCAUUUAUUUAUUUAUGUCCUUUAAAUGACUUUGGAUAGGAGUUCCAAAAUGUCAGUUAUGCUUAAAUGGUGGAUUUAGACAUCUAAAGAGCAGAUCGACAUCUCUGUACCUUUAAGAAUCUGGGCCAAAUGCCUUCUAUCUCUGGUCAAAGAAGUUUCAUGACUUUUAGGAAAAAAAAAAAAUUCUGGUUUCUAACCCUUAAUCACAACAUAUCAUACCUUAAAUCUGUUAUUUUCCCAGAACUAGAUAUUGCCUGUCCUGGCCCUUAAGCCUGGGUGUACCUUUGUGGAAGAAAUUUCACUGCUGAUACAAAGAAGGAAAAAGUUGUUCUGGAAGUUAUCCUUUUAAAAAUAAACACAGCUGUUUGAAGUUGAUCAGAAGUUUGGGAUAUUAGAUGUAGCCCCUGUGGAGGUAGAUUAAUGAGCAGAGUGCAGGAGAAGUGUUCAAAGGUGCAUGAUAAAUGCUAUUUAUUAAAUUGUUGUACAAAUCAUCAUGUGGAUAUCACCACUGUAUAUAAUGUAUAUACACACAGAAUCCUCUCAAACAACCGCUCCACCAUGAAUUAACUACAUAGACAUACCACAACAUGGAGAGCAUGCAAUGUAAGUUAAUUUUGCUGUAGCAACCUUGGGCUAGGUCCUCAGCUCCAUUGACUCCAGUGAAGCCAUCCUCAUUCACACCAGCUGAUGUCAUUCAUUAACUUUUGAUCUCCUGGGGAUUUCGUUUUUGUUUUGUUAUUUUAUUUUAAUUGCACAACUAUAGCAUUGCAUGAAAAUAGCUGAUUUACAAUUAAAUUUUAUUUCUUAAUUUUAUUAAGCUUUUUUGCUUAAUGGAUUAUCACAUAGCCUUGGUUGUCACUAAGGCCCAUUAACUACAAUGGAAUCAGUCAUGUGCAGAUCAUUAAGAAUAUAUAUCAACUUUUUGCAGGAAUGGCCCUAAAUUAUAUUCUCAUCAAAUUAUACCUGGGAUUUUCAUGGGGGAAGAGGGGAAGCAGGGAGGGAGGGCAGAAAGAGUAUAAGUUUGAAGAAAAAGGGGGUUUCACGCUGGUAAACCUACAGGAGCAAUACCAAUGGACCCUAUCAGUUUUAGUUUCAAGAUUAUUCAGUGUCUACUUUAAAAAGGGGUACAAAACAAUAAUACAGUACAUUGUAUUAUUUAAUGUAAUGUAUUAACAAUAAUUUAGAAAUUCCUCUAGGGAUUAACCAGAUCAAAAGAGAUUUAAACACAUGUGUUCUACAUUAGAGACUUCCUGGAUAGAUAACCUUCUUUAGGGGUAUAUAUAUUUUCUUUUUUUGGCUAUUAUGCUUUUCUUGCUGAAAGAGAAGGAUACAUUACCUAAUUUGAUGACAGUUUAAAAAUCUGAGAAUAAUAAAAAGGAAAAAUUAUUAUUCUAAUAAUAUACAGGUAACUUUGUUUUAUUUUUCCUAUAGAAUUGCAAGGGAAGGCUCAAGUUACAAAAUUCAGAUCUGGGUCCAGAUUUCAAAUACCCCAGAGUUCAAGGGUGUUUGGAGCCAGGGUUUUGGUUCAGGUCAGGAUAGAGAUAAGGGACAGCCCUGAAAUUUGCUGCUGCAUCUGUUUUUUUUAA
Molecule: long non-coding RNA, 2054 nt
Organism: Dermochelys coriacea (leatherback sea turtle)
Lineage: Eukaryota; Metazoa; Chordata; Testudines; Dermochelyidae
Exons: 3
Source: RefSeq, a predicted model, not a curated record